UACGUAGGGUGCAAGCGUUGUCCGGAAUUAUUGGGCGUAAAGAGCUCGUAGGCGGUUUGUCGCGUCUGCUGUGAAAACUCGGGGCUUAACUCCGGGCCUGCAGUGGGUACGGGCAGACUAGAGUGCGGUAGGGGAGACUGGGAAUUCCUGGUGUAGCGGUGAAAUGCGCAGAUAUCAGGAGGAACACCGGUGGCGAAGGCGGGUCUCUGGACAGUUCCUGACGCUGAGGCACGAAGGUCAGGGGAGCAAACGGG
RNAcentral lists this ribosomal RNA (254 nucleotides) under uncultured bacterium. Its description in RNAcentral is "partial 16S ribosomal RNA". It matches the Rfam family "Bacterial small subunit ribosomal RNA", at positions 524 to 776 of the family's 1533-position model. The record is from RNAcentral.